CGUGUAGGCGGCCACUUAAGUCCUGCGUGAAAUCUCGGGGCUCAACCCCGAGCGGUCGUGGGAAACUGGGUGGCUAGAGUGCGGGAGAGGAGAGUGGAAUUCCUGGUGUAGCGGUGGAAUGCGCAGAUAUCAGGAAGAACACCCGUGGCGAAGGCGGCUCUCUGGAACGCAACUGACGCUGAGACGCGAAAGCGUGGGGAGCAAACA
RNAcentral lists this ribosomal RNA (207 nucleotides) under uncultured bacterium. Its description in RNAcentral is "partial 16S ribosomal RNA". It matches the Rfam family "Bacterial small subunit ribosomal RNA", at positions 568 to 774 of the family's 1533-position model. The record is from RNAcentral.